Miniopterus natalensis is the source of this 322-nucleotide non-coding RNA. Lineage: Eukaryota; Metazoa; Chordata; Mammalia; Chiroptera; Miniopteridae. The record is from RefSeq and is a predicted model, not a curated record.
AAAAUAUUGAUACAGAUGAAACCGCGUUUCAAGGCUGGUAUUAGAGGCCUUUUACUAAAAUGGUGGAGAAUUAUUGCAGAACAAGGGACUUUGGAAGACCAUGAUGCCACAGCUACUCUUUGAAUAUUUUCAAACCACUGAUUUUCUAUGAAGAAUUAUGUUUCUCUCAUCACUGUGCGUAUGGUCAAAUACGAUUUCUCCAGCUCUGACAUUGUUUCAAGAUCCAUUUAUGGGCUUCCAAUUGGAAUCAGCCACAAAAAGAUACGACCCUUCGAGUAGCUAUAUCAACCUCACCUCGGAAAUGCUGGAUGGAAAACUCAGC